GAAAUCGCUGAAAUCGACCAACAUCAACAGAAGCUGUUUCUGCAAAAUCACCUCCACCCUCUCCCUCUCCGUCCCUCCCGAAAUCGCCGCUCCCGUUUCACUCCAUCGUCUCAGAUCUCCAGCCCAACUGUUUCGGUAAGUUGUUCUUCUCUUUUUUUCAUCUCGGAUUUUUAUUUUCUUCCUCAUGAUUUUCUUUUUUAUUUGUUUAUUCCCAC
This 215-nucleotide long non-coding RNA is filed under the name Gossypium raimondii (Peruvian cotton). RNAcentral describes it as "long non-coding RNA (GRAI_LNC003207)". The record is from RNAcentral. Lineage: Eukaryota; Viridiplantae; Streptophyta; Magnoliopsida; Malvales; Malvaceae.